AUGAACGCUGGCGGCGUGCCUAAUACCUGCAAGUCGAGCGAACAGACGAGGAGCUUGCUCCUCUGACGUUAGCGGCGGACGGAUGAGUAACCCGUGGAUAACCUACCUAUAAGACUGGGAUAACUUCGGGAAACCGGAGCUAAUACCGGAUAAUAUAUUGAACCGCAUGGUUCAAUAGUGAAAGACGGUUUUGCUGUCACUUAUAGAUGGAUCCGCGCCGCAUUAGCUAGUUGGUAAGGUAACGGCUUACCAAGGCAACGAUGCGUAGCCGACCUGAGAGGGUGAUCGGCCACACUGGAACUGAGACACGGUCCAGACUCCUACGGGAGGCAGCAGUAGGGAAUCUUCCGCAAUGGGCGAAAGCCUGACGGAGCAACGCCGCGUGAGUGAUGAAGGUCUUCGGAUCGUAAAACUCUGUUAUUAGGGAAGAACAAAUGUGUAAGUAACUAUGCACGUCUUGACGGUACCUAAUCAGAAAGCCACGGCUAACUACGUG
Molecule: ribosomal RNA, 496 nt
Filed under: uncultured bacterium
Lineage: Bacteria
Description: partial 16S ribosomal RNA
Rfam family: Bacterial small subunit ribosomal RNA
Source: RNAcentral